Molecule: RNA transcript, 13613 nt
Organism: Gallus gallus (chicken)
Lineage: Eukaryota; Metazoa; Chordata; Aves; Galliformes; Phasianidae
Exons: 4
Source: RefSeq, a predicted model, not a curated record
CGGCGGCGGCUGCUGCGGCCGGGCCCCGCUCUGGGGGCCGGGCCGGUGCUCCCGCGGCGCUGCCCCGCUCGGCGCCCGCGGACAAUGGCAGCCGUCCGCGCUCCGGCGGGUAAAGGAGGGGAGAGGAAAGGGGGGGGAAAAAAAGUCCUUCGUCCUCAGCGGGAGAGACUUUAAGCGCGGCCCCUCGCUGCCCCGGGGCGAGUGUCGGUGGCCCACGCUCACCCAAACGCGAGGGCAGCCUUACCGCCUCCCUUUGCCCCUGGAAAAGAAAAAAAAGAGGAAAAAAAAAAAAAAGAAAAGAAAACGCCGCGUGACACCGCUGCACAAACGCACGGCAUCGGCUGUGUCUCACACGGCGGGGAGAUGAAGAUGCAGUCUUUUCCGUGUGGGGGGGCUGAAUAGGAGAGUUAAAGAUUGUUAAGGGCUGAAGGGUGACCGUUGACCGUUGCCCUUCAAAGUCCGCGUGAAUGCCGUGGUGCAGAAAUCCCACCUUGGCAGAAGGGCUUUGUGUUUUUACAGGAGGCAGUGAUGGCAAGCUGCACCCAGCGGGGGUAACGAUUGUUAUUUCUGAGGGAUGCGCAGCCCUAAGCGUUUGGUGGUCAUCCAGGGGUUACGCGUUGUCGCUGCUGGUAUGGCGAACUCUGCUUGCCUCAGGCUUGUCCGGUACUGGCGGGACAAUAACCCUUGCUCUUCAGAUGGUUACUUCUUGCCUUACUGGCUGCUCUGCGUAUGGCUUCCCAUGCUCGUGUCUGCCUCAGAUUAUUGUACUGUUUUCUUUUUCUUCCACUGAACGGUAAUAGCUCGGUUGUUUCUCAGAACAAAUCUAAGGUAAAGCUUCUACAUCGCUCUUUCCCCACUACCACAUUCGAGAAAAGUCUUUGCAACCAAAUCAUUGAAAACUUCUGUUUUCCUCUUCUGGAGAAAGAACUUGGUUAAGGAUGGCCAUCGGGAGGAUUUUCCAACCUUAAUGGUUGCAUGACUCCGCGCUCAGAAAUCUGCUUGGAUUUACUUCACGUCAGGAAGUGCAGGGGUAGUCUGUCUAUUAGAAUCAUAGGAUCGCGGAAUCGUUUGAGUUGGAAGGCACCUCUGAAGGUCGGCUGUUCCAAGUCUCGUAUUCCCAGAACUUUGCAAAAGGGAUCCUACCUCCCACAGACGUCACUCUUUUGGAGGGUGCUUCUGGCACCGGCAUGGGCAGCAGCCAGGAGACAGAAGGGCCACUCGAAGUGCGGAGAAAUCCUUAUGUUACCUUGAAAUAACGUGGCAAAGGAGAGCAGCUUGUGUGUGGAAAAAGCCCUGGGGCGAAGGGACGGAGCUUUUCCUCUGGUCUCAUUUGUUAUAUCUGUGCAAAUUUCUGUAGCAAAUAAGCUAACAGUUAUACAGGCAAUAAUCUUAUUUACCUCGCGGUCAUGAUCCGUUCAUUUUCCCAUGCUAAAUGAGACAGUGGUCUGCUGGAAAAAGUAAUGUAACGUCUUUGAUAUUAUGACCAUAAGCAGUCCAAUUUAGAAUUGCACAAGUAAUUUUUGUUCCAGUCUCUGGAUGCUUGAUUUUUUUCCAACCCCACACAUCCUUUAACGUAAACAAAAGUACUCAUUAAAUGAUUACCUGCACCCACCAGAACAGCCCUUCACCUUGCUGGGUGCAAACACAAAGACAGCCCGUGUGGCACAGAGUUCAGGGCUCGGCACUGACAGAACCCCCACCCCAAUGCAGCAGAGUCUCCUUGCCACACUGUGUGAAAGAAGGGAUCUAACUGCACACAUAUGUUCAAGUCCUCUGAAAUUUGUUCCAAGCUGCUAGUUCAUCAGCAAAUACAUGUUAUCAUCAAAGGCCAAUAAAGCCUGGUUGGAAGUAUCGUUGUGUACAAAGGCCAGGAAUUAUGUUAUUCCCGACUGCUACUCUUUAAAGCAAAAACAUCAUCUUCCAGAGGAAAGCGGACCUGCUGAACACACUUCAGUGCUGGAAUUUGUUCAAGGUUCCAGCUCUUCUCUGAGCCUCCUCUAAUGUUUUGCCACCAGUGCUGCGUUAAGCUGAGUAGAUACGGGUUUUGCAUCUCAAUAGAGUCUCCUCCAGUUCUAACCAAGAGCAGCAUAUACUUUCUGCCAUCUUCUAAUGUCCGUCCUUGUCCAUCUUCAAGGCCAGGUUGGAUGGGGCCCUGAUCUCGUGCCUGACCUAGUGGGUGGCAACUCUGCCUGCAGCAGGGGUUUGGAACUGGAUGGCCCUUGAUGUCCCUUCCAACCUAAGCCAUCCUAUGAUUCUACUACUCUGCAAUCCUCCUCCCAUUUAUACUUGUACCCUCGCUAUUUUAUAACCCUACUUUGUUCACUGCAUCGCCUUAUGCAUUCGCUUGAUUAUUCGCUGUGAUCUGCAAACCUUUCCUGGUGUGAAAUUUAACACAGAGAAGCUUUUAAUUGCCCAGAAUUUUCAGUGAAGCUUGGUUAAAUUUCUUCAUCAUAACUUUUUUUCCCCCUCAGUCAGCACCAUGAAAAGGGGAAUCUGAAUGUAACAGUGUUUCCUUGAUCAGUUUAACCAUAUAUUUUCAAUGAGCCUUGUUCUUUAAAAUCAUUUAUCUUGUCUACAUGAUGUAUUUCUAUAAAAUUUGGCACACGGGGUACUGUGAGUAGACCUAACAUACAUAGCAGUGUUCUUGCCUGAUUUUCAAAUAAGUCCUAAAGUUGCUCUUCCGUAAGUUGAAAAGUAAUGAAUAAUUUGUUUAAUGUUCCUGAACUUGGUAUUCCCCUUAGGUAUGGCUGCUGUCUCACGAAGCUUCAUCUGCAGCUUUAGCGUGUAACAAAAAAGUUUAUGUGCACCUGCUGACACCUGGCCUACAUGUAAAACAGAUGUUGGUGAACGAAGUCUUUUUCGUGAGCAGCUGCAUUUACCCUGCAGAUUCACUCUGCCUGCUUUUAUGGAGAAUCACGUCCCUACUUGCUCAUUAACAUCCCCAAUUUGAUUUAAAUAUGGCCUCUAUGAAAUCGGUUGAAUUUUUGUUGAUCCAGAAUAUACCUAACUUAAAUCCACAAAGGAAACAAAAUGAAUUUUUAAAUCAAGUAAAUCUACAGUAUGAUCUUCACUGUCUCUAGGAUGAGGAGACGUGACAAAGCCUUCUGAUUGAACCCCCAGCUCCAAGUAGGGCCAAUUGUGAAGUUACCCACAGGCUUGCUGAGGGUGCCCUUCAACUCAUCACCGAGGUCACUGACAGAGGUGUUACACAAUACCAUCAAGGGAAUCCUGGCCGCCAGCUGGGUCAGCUCAUUCUGAUCACAACCUUUGAGCCCAUUGGUCCAGCUGAUUCUCCCCAGCUUACCUUCUGCUUACCUAGUUCAUACCCCUGUGAUGUGCUUAAGAGAAGCCUACAGGUGAUUGUCUCAAAAGCAUUGGAAAAGUCAAGGUAAUUUAUAUGCACUGCUCUCCCCUUCACUCUUCACACUGCAGAAGGUAGUUGGGUUGGCCAGGCAGAAUUUACAUUAUGUAAACUGUUACUGCCUGUCCACUGUCACCUUCUUAAUCCUCCCACAGACUAAGGUCAGACUGGCUGGCCCCUUCUUUUGCAAAUCUAGCCCUUUGAAAACAGAGGCAACUUUUACCUUCUUCCAGUCCCCACAUGCCUCUCCCAGUCACCAUGACCUUGCUGCGCUCCCCUGUUCUGCUAUGCAUGCCUUGUGGUUCCUACAACUCCUGAACCCCUUCGGCCUCAUAUCCCAUCUCCAAACACUCUGAGUAUCCUCCUUCCAUUAUCCCUUCACCAACAUCUCCCCUCUCCAAGUAACACUAACUUAAGUGGCACUAAAUUCUUUUAAAGAAUCUAGUAUCCAGCUCAACUUCUCCAAUGGGACUUCGGCUACAUUUGCAUUUCAUGCAUUGAUAGAUUGGUGAAUCAAACAUUUGGUUGCAUUUUGAUGUGUUAUUAACACAAUCAUUUUCUUCAUGUUCUUUCUUUUUUUUUUCCUAAUCAGACAACCUUGAAAAAUUCCCAACUUUUUUAAGACAAGAAAUCAGUUGAGAAUAAUUCCAUGUCAUAAAAUGCUUUGAAUUUGCUAAACUAACACCCUUUACAGGAAGGUACUAUUAAAAAUUCUGAGUUCACCUGACUACCUGCAUAGGAAAUUUCUAAAUGUAUAGAGAAAAUAUUAGAAUUUUAAUCAAUAUUUAUGCAAAUAUUUUUAGUAGUAAAUUACUCUUGUGUCAUUCAUGCUACUUUGUCAGUAGUUCAGGCUGAGACAAAGUGAUGUUCAGCUGAGGUGAGUAUAUGUGCAUAACUCAAGCACAACUGCUAUACUGAUGUAUAUUUCUCCUUGUAUUCUAGUGUCACACCUAAAAUCUCACACAUUUUACUCAGCCCACUUGUUUGCGCUCCUUUCCUUCAGCUAUGCAUAGCAACCAUGACCACAAUAAGUGCUAGAUCAAACAAAAUCUGCCCCUAAAUAUCUUCUUGUGCACUGCGACAGGACUGCUCAGCUGUUGGCACAGACACCCAACCAUGAGAGGAAGGCUUGCUUCUCUCUGCCUGCUGGGUGCUCCUGGACACCCCUCGCUGGGUGACCCUGCUGGCCUGAGCAGGUUCCUUCCAGCCUCAGGACUUCUGUGGUUCUCUGAUGCUUUUAGUGGAAGACAAAAUGCUUUCUGCUUCUCUGCUUUAUUUCACACUACUCUUCUAACUUUUCCUAUUACUCUUCUCUAACAUUUUCUUUUUUUUUUUUUUUUUUACCUUAUUUUCCUUUUUAUCUUUUAUUUUCUAGGCUUUUAUUACCAGUCUCUUCUAUAUUCUCAGCCUGCAGCAUGUGCUCAGCAAUACUUAUGCCCUGACAUAUUCUGCAUAUUCCUGUAGCCUGUUCAAAAAGACAUUGCCUUUCUUUCUACGAAGUAUGAAAGGCUCAGCUCAUCCCUAUAGUGAGACUUUAAUCUAGAAAGUCAAAGUCAUCGAGCAUCCACACUAAGGAGCAUAACUGAGCUACACAUAAGAAAUAGAGCUACGAGUGUUGCUUCGUGUUUUGCUGCUUAAAGAGAAAAAUUCUCUUCCCCUUGUAAUUAGACUGCUGAAUGUUAACUUACCUUCUGUUUGGAACUGUGCAUCACUGUCUUCCUCCCUUGGUUUCCUGUGCUUGAAUAUAUAAAAUUUCCAACCUUCCCUAUAACUUGACAAUAAAAUGUUUUGCUGAGCAAAGGAAGAACUGACACUUCUUAAAAGACACCCAAUCAUUAGCAAGUUGACAUGUACACUUUAACAACCCCUGUAGACACACCCUUUUUUUGCUCCCUUGGAUGUCCUCAGAAAAAUUACUCUAAUAUUUAACAAUUACUUCUCAUCACUGACCAAACACAUCAGAAUGUUUUCCUCCGAAACCAUAAUAUAAUGAUUGUGCAACUUUCAGUCUAAGGGGCCCUUCAUCUUUACUGUUGAAUGCACUUUCUAAAUUCCCUGUGAAGAAGAUUACACAUUGAGGAUGAUCAGUCCAUGUUCUCCAUUGGCCAUUUACCAUAUAAACCUGGAGAUAUGUACAUAUGUAAAUAUAUUAGCUCAUGUAAUUAGAGUGCAAAAGACAUUAGGAAAAAAAAAACAACAGAGAGGAGGUGAAGCAUGUUUUUAACUGGCAAAAACUCAGCAUGUCUGUACAAGUAACAUAUUUCAUACAGCAGACUUAAGAUCUGCCUCUCUGUAUUGCAGUUCUUAAUGCUGUUAUGAAAGAGAUGAAAUGAAGAUGGAGAGAUGACAGUGAUUUAGUCACAGAACCAGUUAAAUGGCUUUCCAAACUCGAGGCCACAGGUAACAUUUUGGUUUAGAGGCAGCACAAGCUUGAUCUUACAGACGUUUAGCUGAAGUAAAUAAAGUCCAGAAAGUGUAAAGAAUGAAAUACAGGGAGCCUGGCACAACUCAGCUCCACAUUUGAUUUCCAUUCCUAAACCACAGAAUAACCAAUGUUUUUUUUUGUUUGUUUGUUUGUUUGCUUGCUUGCUUGCUUUGCAUGGCAUUAUUUUAAUCUAAUAAAUACUAGAAGAAAGAAGUUAUCGUCCCUGAGUUUUUCAGACUACAUGGCAGGGCAGGAGUUUUCAAUUUCCUGAGACUACCUCCGUUUCAGCCUAAUGGCUUGCCCCCUGAAAGUUGGUUAGCAUCAGCCCCAUCUGACUCAUCAGAUGAAGGCAUUAGGGAUGGGGAACAGUCAUUCCUAAAGAGUGAGCCAGAGAGCACAGACCAACAGGUUGAAGAUUUCCCUGGCAGGUGUUGGACGUUUAUCCUUUCCUUCCCUAGGGAGCUCUUGGGGCCCACUGACUUCUGUGUGCUCCAGGGCUCUGGUGGUCUCCUUGCAGUCUUCCCACUUAGGGGUUUUAGGAGCAGCUGCUACAACCACAUGAUUCCUUCACAUGUAGGAUGGGAAGACACAUUGCUCACCAUACAGAAAACACUUCACAAGGUUUUCUCCUUUCUUGUAACAAAGAAGAAAAGUUGACAGAGUUGACUUUUAAAUUAUCACUGGUCACCAGAAUUAACAACAUCUCACCAAAAUGAGCCUCAGAGCUAUUGCUCCAGCCUUCCCAGGUAUUCAAAUAGACAGCAUUUGAUCGGUAUGAGAUAGCUCACAUUUCUGAAGUUGCUACAAUACCAUAGUACAUGCUCACGUCUCUCUCUCUUUAUUUAUUUAUUUUUGUUAGAAAUACUGCUUUUAUUCUUACUACACAUGGCUGUUGAGUUAAAUAUCAUCCAUCAGGAAACGGUGAGCAAAGGCAAAACGGAAGCAGAACAUUUUUUCGCUUUUAAGUUCUCAAAUAUGCUUUUAGUAAUUAUCAGAGCAUUUGCAAAAAGAAAUACUGAACGUUAAACUUUCACAAAAACUGAACAUUAAAUAGAGAGAAGGAACUAAGAGAAAUGGAUUGUGUUACUGUUUGUACUUGCAGUAAGAUAAUAUAUGCUUGAUUAGGUUCUUAAAAGAUGAUGCAAAUGCACGGAGUGGUUUGGAAAAGCACAACACGUAACAAUGCGCAUACUUACACAUAACUUAACCAACCCAAUCUUACUAUUGUCUGGUGACUCCAGUCUGACAGCUGAGGUACUGGGCUCUAUCAAUAGUUCUGCCUGUGCUGUUUAAAUCAACAAAUGUGUUGCAAGAGCCUCUAUAGUCCUUAACAUUUAGAAGAUGAGUGGCGUAAAGCUCUCCCCUAUCUCUUGCUGUCCUUUUCAGAAGACUACUUACAUCCUAAGCUUGUCGCUUUGAGUUUUGACUCUCAUAAUUAAUAAAGAGCCUGAAUUACAGAAUUAAAGCACAUCUGAAGAGGUGCUGUGCCCACUGGGACAUGGGCUUCUAAAAACAAUCGCCCUUUGUAUACUCCUCUGCCCAAAGCCUCAGCCUUACGCUCACUGAAGGAAAAAGGUUCUGUGAGAGACACAGAUGGUCCUGAGCCAGAGCUGUUCAUUUGUUACACUUAGAGAGUGCCAAAGUGUGAGGAGGAAUUUCAUCCCUAUACAGAAAACGAUCACAUUCUCUCUUAGUUUAAAUGCAGCCAGGUGGGUUAAAUAUAUACUCUCUUUCCAGAAAAAAAGAAACAACAAGAUCACGAGGCUGAAAGAGGUCAGGAGGUCAUCUAUGUCCUCCCCCUCCUUGAAAGCAGGACGCUCAACGCCUAUCUCACUGCUAAGACAUUGGUCUAACCUGUUCUUAAUGACCUGUGAUGAAGACAUCACAGCCUCCCAGGUCCCUGGGCCUGUGGGCUUUCUCCACUUGGUGAAGGAGAAAGUGUUUUUGACACUGAACAUCCUGCUUUGUCUGAGACCUUACGCUACUCCAUUUGCCAUGCAUACCAUGUGUCUCUGUGCAUCCCAGUGUGCCCAUCCCCAACAAGAUGGCAUUUCUCUUGUCAGAGGUCAGACCUGCCACUCUAACUUAAGGUUUUCAGACGCGCAUGUUUCAUUUCAUUAGAAACUGCACCAGAAACCACAUCUCCGAGGAUGAAAUGCCACCACCACCAGCAAGAGGAAAAAUAAACAAAUAAUCACUGUGCAGAAAGCAGAGCGCAGUACAGGAGAGCACAUUCUCUUUGGGGGAUCAGUGAGAGAAUUUUGAUUUCCUAUGAAAAAGACUCGAUAGGAGUAAACGAAUGUGAGUAGAAACAUAGCAGGAUCAUAACAACUCCAGUUUCUCCACAGGAAUACCAAGGUAACCAUAAAAACAAAGUGAAAAACAUUUGAUUAUGAUAAACAGGCAAGAAAAUCAUUUGAGGGAGGAAUUUAAAACUGGUGUCUACAUAUUUUCAAUUAAGUUGAAAUUGUUAUGAAAUUGGUAAACCACAAGAAUUAUACAGCAAUUGAAAUUCCUUAAAUUAAAUGCUUUCUACAGCAAAUGCAUAACAAGAAGAAAUAAGCUUAUUAUUUUUAUGCUAGAUUAUAUGCAAAGUACAGAGUAUUACCUAGGGAAAUGAAUCUAGUAAUGGCCAAGAUUUAACUGUUGGUAAUUUCAGGGUAAUUGAAAUUUUAAUGUGGUCUGUUCUCCUGUCCUCAAUGCUUUCUGAAAAUCAGGUCCCCUCCGAUGUUUCCACAAAAACUGGGGCACAUAGAGUAACUGGCAAUUUGUCGAAACUGUGGCCUGAAAGUACCUUCAGGAAAUAGAUAACCUCACAAAGCUUGGUGCAUUUUCUAGUGGACUUCAGUGCAGAUUUUGAGCAAAUACGGAAUACCCUGAAAUAUCAAAGAAUGAGUACUAACAGAUAAGUCACCUCUCAUCAAAAUGAAAACAAAAGUACAGCAUAAUAUCUGAUAAAGUUCUGAAGAAGAAAUCCAACACAUUUGUGAAAAGGAGAAACAAUCUCCCCAGCACAUCCCUUGGCAGACUAAUCAUUAACAAAUCAGUAUCAGAUAUGUUAACUGCUCUCAGAAAGUACCAAACUGAAUACCAGAAAUGCCCAAUGGCUCUAAAUUCAACAAUCUAACCAUAUUGCCGUAUGACACUGAGGAAUUUCUCUCUUCCCACUUUACCACAAUAAUGUUACUAUUCGUACUAGCAGCACAGUGCAUAGAGGUGCUCUAAAACUAGAAAAUGAUAACAGUUACAGUUUUUUUACAACCAUUACAAAGCUCUUUAUAUUUUAUCCAGAUACGUGUACGCAAGUCUUCGGGAGGUUUGAAUGUACCUGAGUGUACAAGACAGCCACUACAGAAAAAAAGAAAAACAACAACAACAAAAUAAUUCAUUUUGAGGUUAUUUUCCAGAAAAACUUUGGAGUGCUCAAAGAUACUGAAAUAUAGAGUGGAGGAAGUUAAGAUCAGACCUAAAAAAAACCCAAAGAAGCCAUAUAUAUAAGGCUCUAUGAUUAGGUCUACUUAAAAUCUUCCUUUUCCCUCAUCCUUGCAUCAAGCAGAUUUUACAGUCUUCUGUCUGGCCUUGCAGGCACAUGGAUGCCUGUUUUCUAGAACUGAAAGUGCAUUCUGGAGAGUAGUUACCCCUUAGGGUACCCUUGUGAUACAUGUUACGAAUAACCUGACACAGGAAAUGCCUAGGUGCUUUCAUUUUCAUUGCAAAGCAUUAGGCCAGAAGAGAAAACAGUUGCUCUGGGUAAGAUACAGCACCAAGUCUAAUAUUCUUCAAAGAAAUAUCAAUUACUUACGCAAAAUUGAUGGUACAAUCUCAUUUAAAAUGCUUUAAAAAAUGGAAGGAACAGCUGUAGUACCCAACCAGGUUGCCUUCCUGCAAUGGCAGGGCCUGUUUCACAGGUUUUUGUAGGGGUUCAUGAUGUGUCUUCUUCAUCUUACCUAAAGGGUGACUUCAAGCUGUUUUUCAGGUCUUGAAAGCCAUCUAUAGCCAUCUUUACAGGUCAGAAAUUUAGAACAGUGAUUAUUUAAGUUUAUUAAACUGUGUUUAAGCUUGAGGAGGUUUGUGAAACUACUUUCAUCUCUUUCAACAUCGUCAUUAACAAAAGUGCGUGCUAAUCACAUCAGGAAAUAGUAAAAUAAGAGGUACUGAGAAAAGAGCCAAUACAAAAAAAGAAACCAAACCAAACCAAACCAACAACAACAAAAAAGACAAUCAGUAAAGAUGAAAAUACUUAAAAAAAAACAAACAAACAAAAAAAAACACUGUCGGUCUUCUAAAAAUUAUUGCAGGGAGAACAUUUCAAUCACCCUGAUAUUCACUGGAUAAGCAACACUACCAGGCACACACAGUCCAGAAGGUUUCUGCAGUGCGUGGGAGAUUUCUGAUGCAGAUGUAAAAGGAGCCAAUGAGGAGAGGUGUACUGCUGGACCUUGUUCUUACAAACAAGGAAGGACUGGUUGGGAAAGUGAAGGCUGGGGGCAGCCCUGGAUGCAGCAACCAUGAGAUGGUGGAUUCCAGGAUCUUACAUGGAAGAAACAAGCCAAUUGGUAGGACUGAAACCCUGGACUUCAGGAGAGCCAACUUUGACCUCUUUAAGGACCUACUUGGAGAUAUCCUUUGGAUCUUCUUCCCCAAAUGAAGGAAGUAACCCUUUGGGACCAGAAGUCAUUUUCUGAGAGAAACAUUAGGCCAUUUACUUUAUUUCUGAGAAGAAUGGCAUGUUAAGCAGACCACAAGAUAGAAUUCACUUCUGAAAUGAGAUCUUGCAGAAGACAUCACAUGGUGUCACCCUCUCCCUGUCCCAGGUGAUGCUAUCAGAGAAGCUCAGUAUUCCUUAUUAAGCAGAGAAGCACCAAAACCUACUGUGCAGGCUGCACCUGAGGACAACACCUCCUCCUGUCCGCAGCCCUUUGUUCUCCCACCCCAAAUGCUUGUCCUUGCCAAAGCCCUGAUAAAUGGGGCUCUUGAUGGGACCCCACAGAGUAAUGCCCCCUCCCAAAUGCCUGCCACAUCCCAUUGUUUUCAGCUGGGCUCUGGCCACGGGCUUCCAUUCCCAAAGGCAGCCAGUGCUUCUUCUCAUCUAUUUUUCAUCAUCCCUUUCCAUCCCCUGAUGGGAUGAGGGAUACAUCAUCUUCAGAGGGCACCUUGCCUCCUGUCCCAUGGGGCAUGAAGGGUGGGGGGACUUCUCAAAGAUGAGCAGUUUACGGAGCCCACACAAGAAACCCACAGGGGGAAAUGUUUAACCAGAACACUCCCGAGGAAGGAAAGAAAAACAAACCAUACAACAUGCUUUUAAUAAACAGUGUGAAUCAGUCAGGAUUCACACGCAUGAACGCAGCCUUCAUCAGAGCAGUGAGGAGGGGCAGCACUAAUUGCUGGCACGCCGCAGGUACGCCCCUCAGUACUUCAGUCUGUUUGCAUCAGCUUUCCUUCUGCUUUCUCUGUGCUUCUGCCACAGCAUUUGCACAUGCAGUGUACCAGACGCUGAUUAAGGGCUUUGAGAUUUUCCCCUCAUUUUCAGACAAAACUUUUACCAACACUCUGCACCUGUCAAUGUCUUUUGGCUGAAAACGUUCAAUAAAAGUAUUAGCAUAAAAGCAACAAAGGCCUGUUUGCACUACGCACUAUAUGAAUAAUAAUAGCACUACAGGAGAAGUAAAAAUACAUGUUAUGCUUUUAUUUCCUGUUGCCUCUCCCUUCCCCCAAGUAUUGCAGAAAAUAAGCGCCUCAUUUCUUAUUUGCUUGUUAUAAUAUAUCCAGUGACUAAUCCAGGGAAGUGAUAAUAAAUGCAAGUGAAAGUUUGCAUACAACUUGAAGUGCAAAACAGCUUAUUUCACCAAAAGCUGGAUGUUCACCAGGAAACAGGGAGGGAUCCAACUGCCCCUGCAAUUGCUUGAGAUAUAUUAUUUUUAAAGAUGGUAUUGGAGUAAUAUGCAGGAGGAAAGAAACUGUUUAAAGGAUAGUGCCAAGACUGGCAAAUCUAAAAUUUCCUACACACAGUCAUACUGCAGCUAUUCUGGGAGCCACAAUCACCUCUUGGAAAAAUAAAUACAUUUCCACAGAACAGCAAUUCUGCAUGUUGCACUUGGCCAACUUGACUGAAACCAAUGGGGUAAUGACUUUUACAAGUGGCAAAAGCCAGUCCUUCCACAAAAGCAGCCCCUUAUCUCAAGAAAUACAGAACUAUUUUGUUAAAAGAAAAAAAGAAGGUAUUGGAAUAUGUUUGUACCUAAAUGUACAUCUAAACAGAAGUACAGACACUGAUUGUUCAUUAGAAAAUUCCUACUAGGAAAAGGAUUGCAAAUCUGCAGUACACAAACCAACGUAAACAAUCACUGACAGAAAAAUGAUGCUCUUUUUCUGAGAGGUGUUUUUAAAAAGAAACAAAACCCAAUGGCUUCAUAAAAAAAUAAAAAAUAAAAUCAAUGAGACAGAUUUCAGAGAAAUUCUCCGUGCCCCUCUGAACCAUCUUUCCUGAUGCUGCUAUGCAUUUUAAGUAGUACUAUUCACAUAUGAUGCAAAAGAACUAUAAGGAAACCAACCAACCAAAAAAAAAACCCAAACAGUUUAUCAUAGCUCUGACUGGGAUGCAUCCAAAAAGCAUCUAGAAAGAAGUGGGUGUAUACGUACGUAUAUAUGGAAGUAUAUCUGCGUGUAUAUAUAAAAAUGGAUUAAAUGUAUGUUGUAAAAAUACCUAAAAAAAAAAAAGCCACAAAGCACAUGAAAACUAAAAUAAAACAAAAAAAAAUGUAGGAGGAAAGCCUAUGCAAAAUAGAAUAUUGAAUGGGAGGACGGCAAAAGACUGUGGGAGAGCUCUAGCUCUUCUCUUUUUGCAAGGUAAUGAAGGCAAGGUUCGUAGAUAAGUCUGUUGUGAAAAGUAGCCCUAGCAUGGCCUGGUUAUGGGGCCUAACACUCCCUAGAGAAGCAGGGCCAUCUUAAGGAGGGGGCUUGGUGAAAUCUAGAGUGCAGGCUCCAAUUCGAUGUACCCAUCCAUCAUCUGCAACAUGCUUGCCGGACAUAGUAAAUAUUACAUGAUUUCAUAGUGCAUGACCGAAAAAGCUAUGACACAUGAAAAGCAGAGGGGAUAGAUGCUUCCUCUAUUAGCAAGAAGUUGCUUUUUUAGGGAAGGGGCUGGGCGCAGGUAAGUGAAUUACAUUACUAAACAUAUUUGUCCACAUGCAACAAAUCUGGCUAUGGACUCUGUGAAGAGUGUGAACCUUCAUCUUUGUCACGAUGAAUCCAACCUGAUUCAGUCCAUGUGGAUGGCCUUUUGGCUAUCUAGGGCCACAGAUACCCCCAGACUGCUGUCAAGGAUUUGGUGGCACAAGAUCUCCGAAGACCUUUGGGUGACCCUGGCACUGGUCUUAAAUAUGAAAUAAAAUACCAUUUCUUAUACCUUGAAGGAGUGAAAAAAUAUCUUCUGUACAGUAGGCAACAAAAAGAAAGGUGGCUGAGAGCACAUACCAAGUGAAUGGCACAGCUAGAGUCUCUAUCUUAGCUUUGUGUUUUGCACAAUACAGUUUCCUAAUGCUUUCACAGUUGUUUCUAGUGCUUUUCCAUUAAUAAGCUCCAAAUGCUUUGCAAAGAUUCAGGCAUUUCAAAAAAUCGUUACUGAUUUUGAGUGUAUUUUUCUGUGAACCCAAGUUGAAGCCCUAAAAGAAAAGAUAAAAAGCUGGCUUGGCAUCUAGUGCAACAGACAGGCAUCUCAGAGGCAGCUGGUGUCAAGAAGAGUGACAAGAUUGAAGGCACUCAAAAGUUCUCAUCAAGUUUCAGAGAUCUGUCACUUGUGAGUGCUAUUUCCUGCAUCUUUAAGACAUA